This 514-nucleotide ribosomal RNA is filed under the name uncultured bacterium. Its description in RNAcentral is "bacterial SSU rRNA". It matches the Rfam family "Bacterial small subunit ribosomal RNA", at positions 501 to 1017 of the family's 1533-position model. The record is from RNAcentral.
CUACGUGCCAGCAGCCGCGGUAAUACGGAAGGUCCGGGCGUUAUCCGGAUUUAUUGGGUUUAAAGGGAGUGUAGGCGGUCUGUUAAGCGUGUUGUGAAAUUUAGGUGCUCAACAUUUAACUUGCAGCGCGAACUGUCAGACUUGAGUACACGCAGCGCAGGCGGAAUUCAUGGUGUAGCGGUGAAAUGCUUAGAUAUCAUGAGGAACUCCGAUCGCGAAGGCAGCCUGCGGGAGUGUUACUGACGCUUAAGCUCGAAGGUGCGGGUAUCGAACAGGAUUAGAUACCCUGGUAGUCCGCACUGUAAACGAUGGAUGCCCGCCGUUGGCGCCCUGCGCCUGCGGCCAAGCGAAAGCAUUAAGCAUCCCACCUGGGGAGUACGCCGGCAACGGUGAAACUCAAAGGAAUUGACGGGGGCCCGCACAAGCGGAGGAACAUGUGGUUUAAUUCGAUGAUACGCGAGGAACCUUACCCGGGCUUGAAUUGCAGUCGCUGCCCACAGAGACGUGGGCUUCC